This 460-nucleotide ribosomal RNA is filed under the name uncultured bacterium. RNAcentral describes it as "partial 16S ribosomal RNA". It matches the Rfam family "Bacterial small subunit ribosomal RNA", at positions 338 to 795 of the family's 1533-position model. The record is from RNAcentral.
CCUACGGGAGGCAGCAGUGAGGAAUAUUGGUCAAUGGGCGGAAGCCUGUACCAGCCAAGUCGCGUGAGGGAUUAAGGCCCUGCGGGUCGUAAACCUCUUUUGCCGGGGAGCAGAGGUCCGGACGUGUCCGGGCCGGGAGAGUACCCGGAGAAACAGCAUCGGCUAACUCCGUGCCAGCAGCCGCGGUAAUACGGAGGAUGCGAGCGUUAUCCGGAUUUAUUGGGUUUAAAGGGUUCGUAGGCGGGCAUUUAAGCCGGCGGUCAAAUGUCGGGGCUCAACCCCGGCCUGCCGUCGGAACUGGGUGCCUUGAGUGGGCGAGAAGUAUGCGGAAUGCGUGGUGUAGCGGUGAAAUGCAUAGAUAUCACGCAGAACCCCGAUUGCGAAGGCAGCAUACCGGCGCCCUACUGACGCUGAGGCACGAAAGUGCGGGUAUCGAACAGGAUUAGAUACCCCAGUAGUC